RNAcentral lists this ribosomal RNA (429 nucleotides) under Bacillota bacterium. Its description in RNAcentral is "Firmicutes bacterium partial 16S ribosomal RNA". It matches the Rfam family "Bacterial small subunit ribosomal RNA", at positions 355 to 776 of the family's 1533-position model. Lineage: Bacteria; Bacillati; Bacillota. The record is from RNAcentral.
UGGGGAAUUUUGGACAAUGGGGGCAACCCUGAUACAGCAAUGCCGCGUGUGUGAAGAAGGCCUUCGGGUUGUAAAGCACUUUUGUCCGGAAAGAAAACUUCGGGGCUAAUACUCCUGGAGGAUGACGGUACCGGAAGAAUAAGCACCGGCUAACUACGUGCCAGCAGCCGCGGUAAUACGUAGGGUGCGAGCGUUAAUCGGAAUUACUGGGCGUAAAGCGUGCGCAGGCGGUGCUGUAAGACCGAUGUGAAAUCCCCGGGCUUAACCUGGGAACUGCAUUGGUGGCUGGAGCGCUGGGGUAUGGCAGAGGGGGGUGGAAUUCCACGUGUAGCAGUGAAAUGCGUAGAGAUGUGGAAGAACGACGAUGGCGGAGGCAGCCUCGUGGGCCAAUACUGACGCUCAUGCACGAAGGCGUGGGUAGCAAACAGU